CCCUUAGAUGUUCUGGGCUGCACGCGCGCUACACUGAUGCGAUCAACAAGUUUUUCCUAUGUCGAUAGACACGGGUAAUCUUUUGAACUCGCAUCGUGAUGGGGAUAGAUUAUUGUAAUUAUUAAUCUUCAACGAGGAAUUCCUAGUAGGUGCAAAUCAUCAGUUUGCAUCGAUUACGUCCCUGCCCUUUGUACACACCGCCCGUCGCUGCUACCGAUUGGUUGAUCUGGUGAAUUAUUCGGACUGCCGGCUGAAGGGGUUUCCUCAUCUGCCAGCGGAAAGUCUUGUUAACCCUAUCAACUAGAGGAAGCAGAAGGCGUAACA
RNAcentral lists this ribosomal RNA (324 nucleotides) under uncultured eukaryote. Its description in RNAcentral is "partial 18S ribosomal RNA". It matches the Rfam family "Eukaryotic small subunit ribosomal RNA", at positions 1470 to 1796 of the family's 1831-position model. The record is from RNAcentral.